Molecule: ribosomal RNA, 1539 nt
Filed under: Staphylococcus aureus
Lineage: Bacteria; Bacillati; Bacillota; Bacilli; Caryophanales; Staphylococcaceae
Description: 16S ribosomal RNA
Rfam family: Bacterial small subunit ribosomal RNA
Source: RNAcentral
AGAGUUUGAUCCUGGCUCAGGAUGAACGCUGGCGGCGUGCCUAAUACAUGCAAGUCGAGCGAACGGACGAGAAGCUUGCUUCUCUGAUGUUAGCGGCGGACGGGUGAGUAACACGUGGAUAACCUACCUAUAAGACUGGGAUAACUUCGGGAAACCGGAGCUAAUACCGGAUAAUAUUUUGAACCGCAUGGUUCAAAAGUGAAAGACGGUCUUGCUGUCACUUAUAGAUGGAUCCGCGCUGCAUUAGCUAGUUGGUAAGGUAACGGCUUACCAAGGCAACGAUGCAUAGCCGACCUGAGAGGGUGAUCGGCCACACUGGAACUGAGACACGGUCCAGACUCCUACGGGAGGCAGCAGUAGGGAAUCUUCCGCAAUGGGCGAAAGCCUGACGGAGCAACGCCGCGUGAGUGAUGAAGGUCUUCGGAUCGUAAAACUCUGUUAUUAGGGAAGAACAUAUGUGUAAGUAACUGUGCACAUCUUGACGGUACCUAAUCAGAAAGCCACGGCUAACUACGUGCCAGCAGCCGCGGUAAUACGUAGGUGGCAAGCGUUAUCCGGAAUUAUUGGGCGUAAAGCGCGCGUAGGCGGUUUUUUAAGUCUGAUGUGAAAGCCCACGGCUCAACCGUGGAGGGUCAUUGGAAACUGGAAAACUUGAGUGCAGAAGAGGAAAGUGGAAUUCCAUGUGUAGCGGUGAAAUGCGCAGAGAUAUGGAGGAACACCAGUGGCGAAGGCGACUUUCUGGUCUGUAACUGACGCUGAUGUGCGAAAGCGUGGGGAUCAAACAGGAUUAGAUACCCUGGUAGUCCACGCCGUAAACGAUGAGUGCUAAGUGUUAGGGGGUUUCCGCCCCUUAGUGCUGCAGCUAACGCAUUAAGCACUCCGCCUGGGGAGUACGACCGCAAGGUUGAAACUCAAAGGAAUUGACGGGGACCCGCACAAGCGGUGGAGCAUGUGGUUUAAUUCGAAGCAACGCGAAGAACCUUACCAAAUCUUGACAUCCUUUGACAACUCUAGAGAUAGAGCCUUCCUCUUCGGGGACAAAGUGACAGGUGGUGCAUGGUUGUCGUCAGCUCGUGUCGUGAGAUGUUGGGUUAAGUCCCGCAACGAGCGCAACCCUUAAGCUUAGUUGCCAUCAUUAAGUUGGGCACUCUAAGUUGACUGCCGGUGACAAACCGGAGGAAGGUGGGGAUGACGUCAAAUCAUCAUGCCCCUUAUGAUUUGGGCUACACACGUGCUACAAUGGACAAUACAAAGGGCAGCGAAACCGCGAGGUCAAGCAAAUCCCAUAAAGUUGUUCUCAGUUCGGAUUGUAGUCUGCAACUCGACUACAUGAAGCUGGAAUCGCUAGUAAUCGUAGAUCAGCAUGCUACGGUGAAUACGUUCCCGGGUCUUGUACACACCGCCCGUCACACCACGAGAGUUUGUAACACCCGAAGCCGGUGGAGUAACCUUUUAGGAGCUAGCCGUCGAAGGUGGGACAAAUGAUUGGGGUGAAGUCGUAACAAGGUAGCCGUAUCGGAAGGUGCGGCUGGAUCACCU